UAAAAAAAAAAAAAAAAAAAAAAAAAAAAAAAAAAAAUCGGUAACUCACCAGGCCUCAAAGCAGGGGUCGACAUCGGUGAAGAUGCGGGUGGAGUAGGCAACGGAGCCGACAGCGGAGCUAACGGAACCGGCAUCGACCGUGGGGUCGGAGCGGACGACCUCGCCGCAGGGCCCGGUCUCGGCACAGAUGAAGACGCACCCGCUACAGCGCCCGACUUCGUCCUCCUAACAGAUGCUUCUUGGGGCGCGAUCGGCCUCGUCCGAGCUGAAGACGGCGCGGUCCCAACGCCCUGCCUCGACCGAGUCUCACCCGACGCCGGCGGACCAACCGGCC
This 334-nucleotide long non-coding RNA is filed under the name Eutrema salsugineum. RNAcentral's name for it is "long non-coding RNA (ESAL_LNC000779)". Lineage: Eukaryota; Viridiplantae; Streptophyta; Magnoliopsida; Brassicales; Brassicaceae. The record is from RNAcentral.